GAUGAAGAACGUAGCGAAAUGCGAUACUUGGUGUGAAUUGCAGAAUCCCGUGAACCAUCGAGUCUUUGAACGCAAGUUGCGCCCGAAGCCAUUAGGCCGAGGGCACGCCUGCCUGGGCGUCACACGUCGUUGCCCCCCCAUCUACUCCUUCGGGAUUGCGGGGGGCGGAUGAUGGCCUCCCGUGCGCCUCGUCGCGCGGUUGGCAUAAAUGCCAAGUCCCCGGCGACACACGCCCCGACAAUCGGUGGUUGCGAAACCUCGGUUGCCCGUCGUGUGCGGUCGUCGCGCAUCGAGGGCUCGAAAAAAUUGCCGGGCUCCGGCUCGGCUUUCAACGCGACCCCAGGUCAGGCGGGGUUACCCGCUGAAUUUAAGCAUAUCAAUAAGCGGAGGA
This 391-nucleotide unclassified non-coding RNA is filed under the name soil metagenome. Its description in RNAcentral is "partial contains 5.8S ribosomal RNA, internal transcribed spacer 2, and large subunit ribosomal RNA". The stretch from base 1 to 122 matches the Rfam family "5.8S ribosomal RNA", at positions 35 to 154 of the family's 154-position model. The record is from RNAcentral.